CCUACGGGGGGCAGCAGUAGGGAAUCUUCCACAAUGGACGAAAGUCUGAUGGAGCAACGCCGCGUGAGUGAAGAAGGGUUUCGGCUUGUAAAGCUCUGUUGGUAGUGAAGAAAGAUAGAGGUAGUAACUGGCCUUUAUUUGACGGUAAUUACUUAGAAAGUCACGGCUAACUACGUGCCAGCCGCCGCGGUAAUACGUGGGUGGCAAGCGUUGUCCGGAUUUAUUGGGCGUAAAGCGAGUGCAGGCGGUUCAAUAAGUCUGAUGUGAAAGCCUUCGGCUCAACCGGAGAAUUGCAUCAGAAACUGGUGGACUUGAGUGCAGAAGAGGAGAGUGGAACUCCAUGUGUAGCGGUGGAAUGCGUAGAUAUAAGGAAGAACGCCAGUGGCGAAGGCGGCUCUCUGGUCUGCAACUGACGCUGAGGCUCGAAAGCAUGGGUAGCGAACAGGAUUAGAUACCCCGGUAGUC
This 465-nucleotide ribosomal RNA is filed under the name uncultured bacterium. Its description in RNAcentral is "partial 16S ribosomal RNA". It matches the Rfam family "Bacterial small subunit ribosomal RNA", at positions 338 to 795 of the family's 1533-position model. The record is from RNAcentral.